GAUGAACGCUGGCGGCGUGCCUAAUACAUGCAAGUCGAGCGAACAGACGAGGAUCUUGCUCCUCUGACGUUAGCGGCGGACGGGAGAGUAACACGUGGAUAACCUACCUAUAAGACUGGUAUAACUUCGGGAAACCGGAGCUAAUACCGUAUAAUAUAUUGAACCGCAUGGUUCAAUAGUGAAAUACGGUUUUGCUGUCACUUAUAGAUGGAUCCGCGCCGCAUUAGCUAGUUGGUAAGGUAACGGCUUACCAAGGCAACGAUGCGUAGCCGACCUGAGAGGGUGAUCGGCCACACUGGAACUGAGACGCGGUCCAGACUCCUACGGGAGGCAGCAGAAGGGAAUCUUCCGCAAUGGGCGAAAGCUUGGCGGAGCAACGCCGCGUGAGAGAUGAAGGUCUUCGGAUCGUAAAACUCUGUUAUUAGGGAAGAACAAAUGUGUAAGUAACUAUGCACGUCUUGACGGUACCUAAUCAGAAAGCCACGGCUAACUACGUG
This 497-nucleotide ribosomal RNA is filed under the name uncultured bacterium. Its description in RNAcentral is "partial 16S ribosomal RNA". It matches the Rfam family "Bacterial small subunit ribosomal RNA", at positions 28 to 507 of the family's 1533-position model. The record is from RNAcentral.